This 427-nucleotide ribosomal RNA is filed under the name uncultured Steroidobacter sp. RNAcentral describes it as "bacterial SSU rRNA". It matches the Rfam family "Bacterial small subunit ribosomal RNA", at positions 355 to 774 of the family's 1533-position model. The record is from RNAcentral. Lineage: Bacteria; Pseudomonadati; Pseudomonadota; Gammaproteobacteria; Steroidobacterales; Steroidobacteraceae.
UGGGGAAUAUUGGACAAUGGGCGAAAGCCUGAUCCAGCGACGCCGCGUGGGUGAAGAAGGCCUGCGGGUUGUAAAGCCCUUUCAGUGGGGAAGAAAAGCCUCGACCUAACACGUCGGGGUCUUGACGUAACCCAUAGAAGAAGCACCGGCUAACUCUGUGCCAGCAGCCGCGGUAAUACAGAGGGUGCGAGCGUUAAUCGGAAUUACUGGGCGUAAAGCGCGCGUAGGCGGCUUUGCAAGUCGGGUGUGAAAUCCCCAGGCUCAACCUGGGAACUGCAUUCGAGACUGCAUUGCUAGAGUAUGGGAGAGGGAAGUGGAAUUUCAGGUGUAGCGGUGAAAUGCGUAGAUAUCUGAAGGAACAUCAGUGGCGAAAGCGACUUCCUGGACCAAUACUGACGCUCAUGUGCGAAAGCGUGGGGAGCAAACA